UCCGCCUUGGUGUAACGGCAGCACGACGGCCUUUGGUGCCGUUAGGUCCGGGUUCGAAUCCUGGAGGCGGAGC
This 73-nucleotide transfer RNA is filed under the name Curtobacterium citreum. RNAcentral's name for it is "tRNA-Gln". It matches the Rfam family "tRNA". Rfam says of the family: Transfer RNA (tRNA) molecules are approximately 80 nucleotides in length. The record is from RNAcentral. Lineage: Bacteria; Bacillati; Actinomycetota; Actinomycetes; Micrococcales; Microbacteriaceae. RNAcentral also lists the same sequence under 1 other name.